Molecule: small nuclear RNA, 106 nt
Filed under: Macaca fascicularis (crab-eating macaque)
Lineage: Eukaryota; Metazoa; Chordata; Mammalia; Primates; Cercopithecidae
Source: RNAcentral
CAGAGACUCCGGCUCAAAAAAAAAAAAAAAAGAAACAAUACAGAGAAGAUUAGCAGGGCCUGUGAGCAAGGAUGACAUGCAAAUUCUUGAAGCAUUUCAUAUUUUG